This is a long non-coding RNA of Olea europaea var. sylvestris, 856 nucleotides long. RefSeq lists it as uncharacterized. Lineage: Eukaryota; Viridiplantae; Streptophyta; Magnoliopsida; Lamiales; Oleaceae. The record is from RefSeq and is a predicted model, not a curated record. The transcript is spliced from 2 exons.
AGAACAGGGUCAUCGCUCUUGGCGACUGUAAGGCACUCCAUUCGCUUAGAUUUUGGGCGUCUUACAAGUUUGGGCGAUGAUGUUACUGUGUUCAUGAACUUCCACUGUAUUUAUUAAUAACCCUGUCUGGACCUUUAUCCUGAAUUACCCAGUUGAGUUUCAUACUUUGGGCUAUUUGAUUUGGGAAUUUCUCAAUUGAACUUCAUUCCUUGGACAAUUCGAUUUGGGCUAUAUUUUUAGUCUGUCAACAGUUGGAGAGAAUUUGAUUUGAGUUAUGCAGAACAGCUCGUCAUUGCCCUGGCUUUGCAACAUCACCACAAAUAUCUGCGUGGAUGUUUAGUGACAGAUGCAAAAAUAAAGAGAGAAGAAAAAGGGUGAAACAAGAUUCCUCAGAAAAAUGGCGUCUAAAGAAACCUGCAGAACCGAACUCCGUUCCGCCGUAUGACUCCUCAGUGACUUCUGUCUCUACUCUGCGUUCAAAUGGGCAGUGAAGCAAUUGAUGGGGAUAGAGCAAGACCCUGCGAAGCACACCCCUUCGCACACUCGAUUCCAACAUGGCCAUGCCGUUGAUGGCGGUUUCGGAGGAGUAUGAUUUUGAUGCUAUUGAUAAUGAUUUUUAUUUGCCAGCUCUUACUUUGACUCAGAGACUACUGUCGGGAGGCCCAUGUGCUCCGUGACCAGAUAAGCAAGAAAGCGGUCUUCUUUAUGCGCCAUGUCUAGUUGGUUUUCUGCACAAAUCUUGGUUACAUUGCUGUUUAUAAUUGCUCAUUUAUGGCUUUUAGAUACUUAAAAUUUUGAUAACUUGAUUUUAAUUGAUAAAUGCUCUUUUUCUAUGUGGGGUAUAUUGAUUGUUGAA